GGGUUGUGAGGUUAAGCGACUAAGCGUACACGGUGGAUGCCCUGGCAGUCAGAGGCGAUGAAGGACGUGCUAAUCUGCGAUAAGCGUCGGUAAGGUGAUAUGAACCGUUAUAACCGGCGAUUUCCGAAUGGGGAAACCCAGUGUGUUUCGACACACUAUCAUUAACUGAAUCCAUAGGUUAAUGAGGCGAACCGGGGGAACUGAAACAUCUAAGUACCCCGAGGAAAAGAAAUCAACCGAGAUUCCCCCAGUAGCGGCGAGCGAACGGGGAGCAGCCCAGAGCCUGAAUCAGUGUGUGUGUUAGUGGAAGCGUCUGGAAAGGCGCGCGAUACAGGGUGACAGCCCCGUACACAAAAAUGCACAUGCUGUGAGCUCGAUGAGUAGGGCGGGACACGUGGUAUCCUGUCUGAAUAUGGGGGGACCAUCCUCCAAGGCUAAAUACUCCUGACUGACCGAUAGUGAACCAGUACCGUGAGGGAAAGGCGAAAAGAACCCCGGCGAGGGGAGUGAAAAAGAACCUGAAACCGUGUACGUACAAGCAGUGGGAGCCUCUUUAUGGGGUGACUGCGUACCUUUUGUAUAAUGGGUCAGCGACUUAUAUUCUGUAGCAAGGUUAACCGAAUAGGGGAGCCGAAGGGAAACCGAGUCUUAACUGGGCGUUAAGUUGCAGGGUAUAGACCCGAAACCCGGUGAUCUAGCCAUGGGCAGGUUGAAGGUUGGGUAACACUAACUGGAGGACCGAACCGACUAAUGUUGAAAAAUUAGCGGAUGACUUGUGGCUGGGGGUGAAAGGCCAAUCAAACCGGGAGAUAGCUGGUUCUCCCCGAAAGCUAUUUAGGUAGCGCCUCGUGAAUUCAUCUCCGGGGGUAGAGCACUGUUUCGGCAAGGGGGUCAUCCCGACUUACCAACCCGAUGCAAACUGCGAAUACCGGAGAAUGUUAUCACGGGAGACACACGGCGGGUGCUAACGUCCGUCGUGAAGAGGGAAACAACCCAGACCGCCAGCUAAGGUCCCAAAGUCAUGGUUAAGUGGGAAACGAUGUGGGAAGGCCCAGACAGCCAGGAUGUUGGCUUAGAAGCAGCCAUCAUUUAAAGAAAGCGUAAUAGCUCACUGGUCGAGUCGGCCUGCGCGGAAGAUGUAACGGGGCUAAACCAUGCACCGAAGCUGCGGCAGCGACGCUUAUGCGUUGUUGGGUAGGGGAGCGUUCUGUAAGCCUGUGAAGGUGUGCUGUGAGGCAUGCUGGAGGUAUCAGAAGUGCGAAUGCUGACAUAAGUAACGAUAAAGCGGGUGAAAAGCCCGCUCGCCGGAAGACCAAGGGUUCCUGUCCAACGUUAAUCGGGGCAGGGUGAGUCGACCCCUAAGGCGAGGCCGAAAGGCGUAGUCGAUGGGAAACAGGUUAAUAUUCCUGUACUUGGUGUUACUGCGAAGGGGGGACGGAGAAGGCUAUGUUGGCCGGGCGACGGUUGUCCCGGUUUAAGCGUGUAGGCUGGUUUUCCAGGCAAAUCCGGAAAAUCAAGGCUGAGGCGUGAUGACGAGGCACUACGGUGCUGAAGCAACAAAUGCCCUGCUUCCAGGAAAAGCCUCUAAGCAUCAGGUAACAUCAAAUCGUACCCCAAACCGACACAGGUGGUCAGGUAGAGAAUACCAAGGCGCUUGAGAGAACUCGGGUGAAGGAACUAGGCAAAAUGGUGCCGUAACUUCGGGAGAAGGCACGCUGAUAUGUAGGUGAAGUCCCUCGCGGAUGGAGCUGAAAUCAGUCGAAGAUACCAGCUGGCUGCAACUGUUUAUUAAAAACACAGCACUGUGCAAACACGAAAGUGGACGUAUACGGUGUGACGCCUGCCCGGUGCCGGAAGGUUAAUUGAUGGGGUCAGCGCAAGCGAAGCUCUUGAUCGAAGCCCCGGUAAACGGCGGCCGUAACUAUAACGGUCCUAAGGUAGCGAAAUUCCUUGUCGGGUAAGUUCCGACCUGCACGAAUGGCGUAAUGAUGGCCAGGCUGUCUCCACCCGAGACUCAGUGAAAUUGAACUCGCUGUGAAGAUGCAGUGUACCCGCGGCAAGACGGAAAGACCCCGUGAACCUUUACUAUAGCUUGACACUGAACAUUGAGCCUUGAUGUGUAGGAUAGGUGGGAGGCUUAGAAGUGUGGACGCCAGUCUGCAUGGAGCCGACCUUGAAAUACCACCCUUUAAUGUUUGAUGUUCUAACGUUGACCCGUAAUCCGGGUUGCGGACAGUGUCUGGUGGGUAGUUUGACUGGGGCGGUCUCCUCCUAAAGAGUAACGGAGGAGCACGAAGGUUGGCUAAUCCUGGUCGGACAUCAGGAGGUUAGUGCAAUGGCAUAAGCCAGCUUGACUGCGAGCGUGACGGCGCGAGCAGGUGCGAAAGCAGGUCAUAGUGAUCCGGUGGUUCUGAAUGGAAGGGCCAUCGCUCAACGGAUAAAAGGUACUCCGGGGAUAACAGGCUGAUACCGCCCAAGAGUUCAUAUCGACGGCGGUGUUUGGCACCUCGAUGUCGGCUCAUCACAUCCUGGGGCUGAAGUAGGUCCCAAGGGUAUGGCUGUUCGCCAUUUAAAGUGGUACGCGAGCUGGGUUUAGAACGUCGUGAGACAGUUCGGUCCCUAUCUGCCGUGGGCGCUGGAGAACUGAGGGGGGCUGCUCCUAGUACGAGAGGACCGGAGUGGACGCAUCACUGGUGUUCGGGUUGUCAUGCCAAUGGCACUGCCCGGUAGCUAAAUGCGGAAGAGAUAAGUGCUGAAAGCAUCUAAGCACGAAACUUGCCCCGAGAUGAGUUCUCCCUGACUCCUUGAGAGUCCUGAAGGAACGUUGAAGACGACGACGUUGAUAGGCCGGGUGUGUAAGCGCAGCGAUGCGUUGAGCUAACCGGUACUAAUGAACCGUGAGGCUUAACCUUACAACGCCGAAGCUGUU
RNAcentral lists this ribosomal RNA (2929 nucleotides) under Escherichia coli. RNAcentral's name for it is "23S ribosomal RNA". It matches the Rfam family "Bacterial large subunit ribosomal RNA". The record is from RNAcentral. Lineage: Bacteria; Pseudomonadati; Pseudomonadota; Gammaproteobacteria; Enterobacterales; Enterobacteriaceae.